RNAcentral lists this ribosomal RNA (378 nucleotides) under uncultured eukaryote. RNAcentral's name for it is "partial 18S ribosomal RNA". It matches the Rfam family "Eukaryotic small subunit ribosomal RNA", at positions 592 to 976 of the family's 1831-position model. The record is from RNAcentral.
CAAUAGCGUAUAUUAAAGUUGUUGCGGUUAAAAAGCUCGUAGUUGGAUUUCUGCCGAGGACGUCCGGUCCGCCCUCUGGGUGUGUACAUGGUACGGCCUGGGCAUCUUCUUGGAAAACGUAUCUGCACUUGACUGUGUGGUGCGGUAUCCAGGACUUUUACUUUGAGGAAAUUAGAGUGUUUCAAGCAGGCCUACGCCUUGAAUACAUUAGCAUGGAAUAAUAAGAUAGGACUUUGGUCUAUUUUGUUGGUUUGCAGACCGAAGUAAUGAUUAAUAGGGAUAGUUGGGGGUAUUUAUAUUCCGAUGUCAGAGGUGAAAUUCUUAGAUUUUCGGAAGAUAAACUUAUGCGAAAGCAUUUACCAAGGAUGUUUUCAUUAA